Molecule: ribosomal RNA, 863 nt
Filed under: uncultured archaeon
Lineage: Archaea
Description: bacterial SSU rRNA
Rfam family: Archaeal small subunit ribosomal RNA
Source: RNAcentral
UUUCCGGUUGAUCCUGCCAGAGGUCACUGCUAUCGGGGUUCGAUCAAGCCAUGCGAGUCGAGAGGGUUCGGCCCUCGGCGUACUACUCAGUAACACGUGGAUAACCUGCCCUAAGGAAGGGGAUAACCUCGGGAAACUGAGGAUAAUACCCUAUAGGUUACAGACGCUGGAAUGCCCUGUAACCGAAAGCUCCGGCGCCUUAGGAUGGAUCUGCGGCCGAUUAGGUUGUUGUUGGGGUAACGGCCCAACAAGCCGAUAAUCGGUACGGGUUGUGGGAGCAAGAGCCCGGAGUUGGAUUCUGAGACACGAAUCCAGGCCCUACGGGGCGCAGCAGGCGCGAAAACUUUACAAUGCGGGAAACCGUGAUAAGGGAACCUCGAGUGCCUGUAUAUGCAGGCUGUCCAGGUGUCUAAAAAACACCUGAAGAAAGGGCCGGGCAAGACCGGUGCCAGCCGCCGCGGUAAUACCGGCGGCUCGAGUGGUGGCCACUUUUAUUGGGCUUAAAGCGUUCGUAGCUGGGUUGUUAACUCUCUUGGGAAAUCUGACGGCUCAACCGUCAGGCGUCCAAGGGAUACUGGCAAUCUUGGAACCGGGAGAGGUGAGGGGUACUUCGGGGGUAGGAGUGAAAUCCUGUAAUCCUCGAGGGACCACCUGUGGCGAAGGCGCCUCACCAGAACGGCUUCGACAGUGAGGGACGAAAGCUGGGGGAGCAAACCGGAUUAGAUACCCGGGUAGUCCCAGCCCUAAACGAUGCGCGUUAGGUGUAUCGGUGACCACGAGUCACCGAGGUGCCGAAGGGAAACCGUGAAACGUGCCGCCUGGGAAGUACGGUCGCAAGGCUGAAACUUAAAGGAAUUGGCGGG